This 311-nucleotide long non-coding RNA is filed under the name Mustela putorius furo (domestic ferret). RNAcentral describes it as "lncRNA (ENSMPUG00000026508.1)". Lineage: Eukaryota; Metazoa; Chordata; Mammalia; Carnivora; Mustelidae. The record is from RNAcentral.
CCCGGAGGGGUGGUAGGUGGACAGGCGGUGGAGCUGAUGUUUGGGGUUGAUUCAGGACCCCAUUCAGAGCCCCGAGUGAUCACUAGCAAGAAGCAGCUGGUCACACAGUGAUUCUCACUGAGUCCCUCCAUUUGGAUUUCAGAAUCAAGCUGAUUCUCUGGGGACACGACAACCAAGAAGUCUGUGUUCUCUUAUUCCCUCCAUGAUCCAAGAGAACACCUUUUUAGUCCUCCCUUUUGGACACCAGCUGUACUACGAAGCUUGAACACUGAGUACUGGCCCUGCUUGCAACAGGAGGUUUUCAAUAUUUU